RNAcentral lists this ribosomal RNA (785 nucleotides) under uncultured bacterium. RNAcentral describes it as "bacterial SSU rRNA". It matches the Rfam family "Bacterial small subunit ribosomal RNA", at positions 708 to 1504 of the family's 1533-position model. The record is from RNAcentral.
GCCGAUUGUGUGGAAGACACCUCACGAAAGCGUAACUGACGCUGAGCACGAAGCGUGGGGGAUCGAACAGGAUAGAUACCCUGGUAGUCACGCAGUAAACGAUGAUGACUAACCCGCCGGCGGCAUACAGUCGUGACCAAGCGAAAGCGAUAAGUCAUCCCACCUGGGGAGUACGACCGCAAGGUUGAAACUCAAAGGAAUUGACGGGGGCCCGCACAAGCGGAGGAACAUGUGGUUUAAUUCGAUGAUACGCGAGGAACCUUACCCGGGCUCGAACGGCAGAGGAAGGAUGCGGAGACGCAAACGCCCUUCGGGGCUUCUGUCGAGGUGCUGCAUGGUUGUCGUCAGCUCGUGCCGUGAGGUGUCGGCUUAAGUGCCAUAACGAGCGCAACCCUUGCCGUCAGUUACCAGCACGCAAUGGUGGGGACUCUGGCGGGACUGCCACCGCAAGGUGAGAGGAAGGGGGGGAUGACGUCAAAUCAGCACGGCCCUUACGUCCGGGGCGACACACGUGUUACAAUGGUGGGUACAGAAGGAAGCUACCUGGCGACAGGAUGCAGAUCUUUAAAACCCAUCUCAGUUCGGAUCGGAGUCUGCAACCCGACUCCGUGAAGCUGGAUUCGCUAGUAAUCGCGCAUCAGCCAUGGCGCGGUGAAUACGUUCCCGGGCCUUGUACACACCGCCCGUCAAGCCAUGAAAGCCGGGGGCGCCUGAAGACCGUGACCGCGAGGAGCGGCCUAGGGCGAAACUGGUAAUUGGGGCUAAGUCUUUACAAGGUAACCGUA